RNAcentral lists this ribosomal RNA (391 nucleotides) under uncultured bacterium. RNAcentral's name for it is "bacterial SSU rRNA". It matches the Rfam family "Bacterial small subunit ribosomal RNA", at positions 110 to 509 of the family's 1533-position model. The record is from RNAcentral.
GUAACGCGUAGGCAACCUGCCCCAUACAGAGGGAUAGCCAUUAGGAAACGAUGAAUUAAAACCACAAUAAAACCGAGUUAUCGCAUGGUAACAUGGUCCAAAGUUUUUAUCGGUAUGGGAUGGGCCUGCGUCUGAUUAGUUAGUUGGUGAGGUAACGGCUCACCAAGGCGACGAUCAGUAGCCGACCUGAGAGGGUGAACGGCCACAUUGGAACUGAGACACGGUCCAAACUCCUUACGGGAGGCAGCAGGUGGGGAAUAUUGCACAAUGGGCGAAAGCCUGAUGCAGCAACGCCGCGUGAAGGAAGAAGGUCUUCGGAUCGUAAACUUCUGUCCUAUGGGAAGAAGCAAGUGACGGUACCAUAGGAGGAAGCCCCGGCUAACUACGUGCC